This 5761-nucleotide unclassified non-coding RNA is filed under the name Hevea brasiliensis (rubber tree). Lineage: Eukaryota; Viridiplantae; Streptophyta; Magnoliopsida; Malpighiales; Euphorbiaceae. The record is from RNAcentral.
AGAUUCGAAUUCCUACUUCCUAAUCUCCUAUUAAAAAAAAAAGAAUUAGAACUCUAAAAUGUACACAUUUAUGUUUAAAAGAUCCACAUGAUCUUAUCUUUGAGAUUUGACCAUAUUUGAAUGGUGAACACUUGAAAUAGGAUUUGCCAUUAAAAUAUUGGGAGCAGUACACUUCUUCUAGGAAUAUCAAGACCUGCCCAUCUUCCUUUCGGCUUUAGGAGGAAUUGAAAAUUGUCAUUUGUAUUUGGUAGGGCCAAGGAACUAAUACCUAAAAGGUUUAGUUUAAUCCUUUGGGCAUAUCCCAACCACUUGAUGUGAACUAAUUUGAUCAUAGAUGGGCAAGAAAUUUGGCUAAUGAUCUCAAAUUAAAUGAAAGGGAAAGGGCACAACUGCCCUUUCUUCCUCUUCGAAAACAAUGACUUUAGAGUUCUAGUAGUGUCUUUUCAAAAGGAAGGCAUUUCAAAAUCAAACCCAUCAAAAUGAAAGAGUGCCCUUUCUAUUUAAAAAAUAGUAAAAGAAGACCUCUAAAGAAAACCACUUUGCACAUGAUAUUGGGAUACACACCAUAUGAUAGAUCCACAUAGAUGUUAUUAAUUGAUUUUUUUUGCAAGCAACAAAUUGUGAUGUCCUUAUACAAUCUAUGCUUAGAUCUAAGCGAAGCCUAAUCACCAUGACUUGCCUUUAGAAUGCUUUGUCCACAUGAAAUAGUCUUCUAAUUCUCUGCUUUGGAGAGUAUGAGAGAUAAUGCAAAUCAUCAAAAGAACCAGGAAUAUAUGGGAAAAAAAGCUAUUAUUUUAUCUUUAUUAAGAUUUGCAAUCUUAUUUUACAAUAAAAGAAGGGUUUCCUUAUUUCCAUCAAAACUUAAUUCUUCUUGUUUAGCAAUUGGCUAAAUCUUAAAAGGUUAAGAUACCAUGAGAGAGCCUUUUGGUUAGAAUAAAACAUUCCUAAAAGAUCAACCCAAGUGCAAGCCAAAGCAAAUAAAGAGUAAGAGACUGAAUCUUACCAUAACGACAGAAACCAAUCAUGCAGCUGACCAAAUUUGCUCGGCCUCAACCUCACAUGUCCAAACGAAAAUGGCAGAAACUGACACAACAAUAACAUAGUGAGCACAUGGGAAGAAGCCACUGAAGCAGACAAGACGACGCAGUCUAGUCACCGAAAACGUGUUUCGCAAAAUGUUGAUAAUGCUUAUCUAUACCUUUUCCUAUCCUGUAUCAGAAAUUCAAUUUCUCAAUCAAGAGAUGAUCCCAGAAUUGGUAAGUAAAUUCAGAGUCACAUCUCACGAUCAGACAAAGGAAAUGAACAUCUAGUAAAAGAUAAGUACAAGUUGGAGGACACAAUAAUACAAUGUUGAAAGGUCAUAUCAAGCACUUACAAAUGAAUUGUUGCCUAGUAGAUGCUCGAAAAUGACUUAUAUGGCUGCUAGCAAGUAGCAAUUCCAGAGGUCUAUGUUAAAAGCCUAUAUUUCUAAUAGAAUUAGGAAAAUGAUGGCCAUGAUUGUGAAUAGAUAUGUGUGUGUGUGUUUUUUAAAGCUUUAUUCAAGUGUCUAAGGGUUGCUUUAGUAUAAUGGUAAAGUUAUUCCAUUUGUUACUUGGAGAUUAAGGGUUAAAUGGCAUUCAUUGCUAUCUUUUGUUUCCUGAAUUAUGAGUGACAGAGUCAAGCCAUUGAAACAACCUCUCUACAAAGCAGAUUUAAGGAUAUGUUUAUCAACCAUCCCCAGAAUCCCUAAGUGUAGGAUGAUUUAUGCACUGGGUCACCCUUUUUUUUUUCUAUUCACAUGUCAAGGAAACAUUUAGUGAGAUUUCACUGCCAAACAUAUGACAUGGUAAUUCAAUACAUGAAGUCACGGAAACAUAAAUUUUCUACAUGUUUUUCUUGGCCAUUUAAAAUUGUUGCUUCAUCAUUUGCGAGAGUGCAUCUGUCUACACUGUGCCGGUGUGUGCACAUGAUAGACGGAGUGAAGCCAUGAAAAAAAAUCCAAUAAUUCACAGAAAAUCAAUAUUGAGGCUGGGUAUAGCCUAUUCUAUUGCUUGGAAGUUUGUCCCAAAAGUCAGUAUACAGUCCCAAAUUCUCAUUGUGAACUAAUAUUUGAGCUUUAGUGAAGUUAAUGGGUAACAAAUCUUUGGCUUUAAAGUGAUUUAUGCUACAAAUUACAUGCCUAUGGCUAUGAAUCAAGUAACUGCUGCAAAUCAUAGCUGACCAAGAAUAUUGUUUAGAAAGAAAGAAAUUUAUAUGGAAUCCAUCAUGACAAAAGAAUUCAUUAACUGUUACAGCUUUUCUCCACCAAUUAAUUAAUAAUUACAACCAACCUCAUUAACUACUCCACUUUUCCAAUAACUCAAAUCCAAUUAAUAUUUGAUUUCAAGUCCAACUUUCUCAAAGAAAACAAUAUCCAAACCUUAAAGUGAAAGCUAUCAACAUCAUAGAAAUAAAAGCCAUUAAAAGCAGAAAAAUGAAAGGCAAAAAGUAGAAAAGAAUUUCUCUUCCAUCAGCAGUUAUCCAAUUAACAGAACAGACAAAAGCUUACAGAACAUACCAUGCCAAUGACAUAUUUACCACAACAUGGUCCCUAAAUGAGGAAAUGAAAUAAAAUUUCAAACUUGUUAAUUCUUGCCUUCUCUCAACCCUACGCAGUACGAGAUAAAGAUACACAUCCAACAGUUGUGAAGCAGAAAACUAUGAGGAGAGAAAACUACAAAGAACUAGCAAACCACAAAGUAAAUUUUGAAAGCAAUGAAACCUAAAUGAGAGCUCACAAUAAGUAUGUAAUAUCAGCAUUCCAAAAUGCCCAAAAACCUAGAUAGCAGUUAUGUUUAACCAAACACUAGAAUUUGGUGAAUGACCCAAAAAGAGUGAAGUCUGUCUGCUUUGGAAAAAGGGAACGCAAAAAUACAGUUUUAGCAUACCUAUUCCCACCGUAAAUUUAAAAUGAUCUACCAAGAUGGUUACUUGAAACAUGACUAUAUGAUUGUGGGGAAAUAAAAGAUGAUGCUUGCUUCUUGCAAGUUUCAUCAAGGCCCCACAUCCCCAGUUACAAUCUGAAUGUAUAAAUAUUCUGAAAUGAUCCAAAAUGAUUAUGUGUACCUAUUCUCAGGGUAAAACUAAAAUGAUCUACCAACUAUUAAGAUGGUUAUUUGAAACAUAGUCAUCUGAUAGUGAGGAAAUAAAGGAUGAUAUUUGCUUCUUGCAAGAGUCAUCAAGGCCCCACACACUCCCCAUUACAACUUUUUUGUCAUUAUUUAGUAUUUUCUGUAGGAUGCUACUCUAGUCUGAAAAAUGAGAAUAAGCCAAAAAUUUCAAAGUGGGGAAAAAGGCCGGGAGGGGGGGCUACUCAUGGAUGGAGAUUCUGCUUCCUUGGGCGGCAGCAACAUCAUAUGACAUCCAACUUUACAUGAUCUAUAUAAACAAAACGUUAUAAUCCAUAUAAUCAGAACCAUAAUGACAUUGGAAAUUUGAUUUUAUGAAUAUAUAAUGGCAAUAUUCAUAAUUAAGCUUGCACUAUUUAAGCAUCAACUAAAGCAACAAUGGGCCAAUGAGGUUAAUAAUAAUGGCUUGCAAUGUCUACAGGGCAUAACACUACUAGUAAUGACUUGCAAAAGUCUACAGGUCAUAUCACAGGGAUAAUAGUAUUGCGAAUGAAAGAGGUUAAUUGUGUGUUAAAAGUCAAAAGGCACUAUAAUCAAAUUCAGAUAAUUGUCACAUCAAGCAUAAUAAUUUGAUGAAUUGCAGAGAGAAUUCUUGAGAUAGAGUAGUAAUGUGCAAGUAUAACAAAUAAUGGUUUGACAGGCAACAUAAAGGAAAGCUGCAAUGUUGACAUACUGCAAGGGUACUGACAAAUCUGAGAUUAUGACUUGCACUUUCUAAAUUCAACAUUAAAAAUGAAAUUUCGACCGAAGUAUUCAGCACAAGAGAGUGCACUAUCCACUGCAUCUUUAUUCUUAAAGUCAGUUAGUGUACAGAAUGAGAAUAGGAUAUCCUGUUAACUGGAUAACUCUUAGCAUAAACUGGAAAAUAUAUGGGUUUUGGAACAAGGAAAUAAUCAUGCCACUUGAUUGUACUGAAAACAGUAAUUUCUACAGGAAAUAUCAACUCACUUUAAUUCCACUGAUCAAAAGAAUGACAUGAAUCUAUUAUCUGCUUCACCUUUCCCAGAUUGAAUUUAGUCAUGAUCAAAGGCUUGAAGUGUCAAGCUACUGCUUCGGAAGACAUAGAUGAAGAACAAAACAUAAUAUAAAAAUAAAGCAAGAACUUCCCAGAUUUGUUUGUGCUUGGGGUAGACUGUGGAGGGUCUGAAAAUCAGAAAAGAAAAUUUCAGUUAAUGAACAAGAUCAUACAACCUCAGUAUCAAAGAGAUCACUGUGAGGUGUAAUAACAAUAAACAUACUUCCCAGAUUCUCUGGACACUUUACCAAUAAAAUUAACAAUCAUAAUAUAUAUGCCUGAAUAUGUCAAAGUUUUUAAUGAGCCAAACAGAUUGUUUUCCCAUAAAAAGCGGCUACCACUUGGUUUCUUUCAAACUGCUUCGCUUUCCUAUCUGAUAUCUUCUUUCUAAUUACUUGCUUUUAUACGGCCUUGCCCAUGCUUUACAUAACAACAGGAGCAUCAAUCUAAAUAUAAACCCAAAUAAUCUUCAACUAUCUCUCUUUAACUCAACUCUACUAUUUUGACUGGUAUUUUAGAAAAGCACUAGCUCCCAAAUCAUACUUAAGUCUUCAAAGCGAGCUUGAAAUAGUAAGUCUUACCCAGUACUAGUGACACCAUGUUAUUGCCUUCUACUAAAUUGUCUACCCUUCUGUACAUUCUCUGUUCCUUCGUCUUGAUCUUCACUAUUCAUUAUAGUCAUUGUACUUGACCUAUAUCUGUCUAACUACUCAUCUAGGUAUAUGGAUUUAUAUAUGGACUAUAUGCUAUAUCUUAUCAUACUAACAAGCAGAAAUCAUUACAGGUUUUUUACUAUACAAUGGCCCCAAAAGACUAGAGUGCUAAAAGCUAACUGGCAAUAAUUUAUAGUCGUGGUUAUUGUGAGUCUAUGGCUUUUUUUUUUUUUCAGGUACAAACAAUCACACCCACCAUAAAAUAGUGAAUGGCGUCCUAUCAAUGACACCAAGAAUCAAUGCUUCAUCCCAAAUAAACGUUUUCCCCUCAUUCUUCUGGAACCUUAAAUCACAUAGGCCACCCAAUUGCCUAUGCUUUAUCAUGCAAUUGGUGUUAACUUUAAAACAUACUGAUUGCUUCCAAAUCCAAUCUACUUUGCCUUGCAACUCAUCCAUCUCAUCAGGUUAAAGGCAUAAAACCUCAUUGAUUAGGCCUGAAGGUUCAUCCUCUUUUCAAGCAAUGGAUUAACAAGAAUGUGUCCAAAGAAAUGACUAAUUUUGCUUAAAAAAUGAAUAAUUUAUUUGCACAUGGAUAAUAUAAAUUACCAUCAAUUCAGCUUCAAAAUCAUAAUUAGAAGACCUAAAAUUCAGUUGCCAUUUAGUCACUGUUUGCGAAGACCGCAAUCCAAUCAUCUACAAUGAGGAUCAAACUGUAAUAAAAGACAGAUUGAUUGAGCAAACAGAAGCGAAUAAGGCAUAUCAGUUGCGUGUAUGGAAGAGGAAAUUGUGUGAACUGAGCUAUACAAGUAACUGGAUAGCGAUACAGUGGACCUGUGAGACUAAGUUCUCCUGCAUUGGCUUACCUGCUAGAUUGAGUGACGACUGAACACGAAGCGAAGGGAAGAAGUCUGUAGCUCGCUGUUUUCACGUUGUCUACCUCUUUGCCU